This 460-nucleotide ribosomal RNA is filed under the name uncultured bacterium. RNAcentral describes it as "partial 16S ribosomal RNA". It matches the Rfam family "Bacterial small subunit ribosomal RNA", at positions 338 to 795 of the family's 1533-position model. The record is from RNAcentral.
CCUACGGGAGGCAGCAGUGAGGAAUAUUGGUCAAUGGGCUUACGCCUGAACCAGCCAAGUCGCGUGAGGGAAGACUGCCCUAUGUGUUGUAAAUCUCUUUUGUCAGGGAGCAAUUGGCGCUACGUGUAGCGUUAUCGAGAGUACCUGAAGAAAAAGCAUCGGCUAACUCCGUGCCAGCAGCCGCGGUAAUACGGAGGAUGCGAGCGUUAUUCGGAUUGAUUGGGUGUAAAGGGUGCGUAGGCGGGCUUCUAAGUCAGCGGUAAAAAAUCGGGGCUCAAUCCCGUCCGGCCGGUGAAACUGGGCACCUAGAGUGGGCGAGAGGAAGGCGGAAUGCGUGGUGUAGCGGUGAAAUGCGUAGAUAUCAGGCGGAACCCCGGUGGCGAAGGCGACCAUCCGGCGCCCUACUGACGCUGAGGCACGAAAGUGCGGGGAUCGAACAGGAUUAGAUACCCUAGUAGUC